This 497-nucleotide ribosomal RNA is filed under the name uncultured bacterium. Its description in RNAcentral is "partial 16S ribosomal RNA". It matches the Rfam family "Bacterial small subunit ribosomal RNA", at positions 28 to 507 of the family's 1533-position model. The record is from RNAcentral.
GAUGAACGCUGGCGGCGUGCCUAAUACAUGCAAGUCGGGCGAACGGACGAGAAGUUCUCCUCUCUGAUGUUAGCGGCGGACGGGUGAGUAACACGUGGAUAACCUACCUAUAAGACUGAGAUAACUUCGGGAGACCGGAGGUAAUCCCGGAAGAUAUUUUCAACCGUAUGGAUUAAAAGUGAAUGACGGUCUUGCUGUUACGCAUAGAUAGAUCGGCGCUGCAUUAGCUAGUUGGUAAGGUAACGGCUUACCAAGGCAACGAUGCAUAGCCGACCUGAGAGGGUGAUCGGCCACACCGCAACUGAGACGCGGUCCAGACUCCUACGCGAGGCAGCAGUGGGGAAUCUUCCGCUAUGGGCGGAAGCCUGACGGGACACCGCCGCGUGGGUGAUGAAGGUCUUCGGAUCGUAAAACUCUGUUAUUAAGGAAGAACAUAAGUGUAAGUAACUGUGCACAUCUUGACGGUACCUAAUCAGAAAGCCACGGCUAACUACGUG